AACGAACGCUGGCGGCAUGCCUAACACAUGCAAGUCGAACGAGACCUUCGGGUCUAGUGGCGCACGGGUGCGUAACGCGUGGGAACCUGCCCUUAGGUUCGGAAUAACUCCCCGAAAGGGGUGCUAAUACCGGAUAAUGUCUUCGGACCAAAGAUUUAUCGCCUUUGGAUGGGCCCGCGUUGGAUUAGCUAGUUGGUAGGGUAAAAGCCUACCAAGGCGACGAUCCAUAGCUGGUCUGAGAGGAUGGUCAGCCACACUGGGACUGAGACACGGCCCAGACUCCUACGGGAGGCAGCAGUGGGGAAUAUUGGACAAUGGGCGAAAGCCUGAUCCAGCAAUGCCGCGUGAGUGAUGAAGGCCUUAGGGUUGUAAAGCUCUUUUACCCGGGAUGAUAAGGACAGUACCGGGAGAAUAAGCUCCGGCUAACUCCGU
Molecule: ribosomal RNA, 432 nt
Filed under: uncultured bacterium
Lineage: Bacteria
Description: partial 16S ribosomal RNA
Rfam family: Bacterial small subunit ribosomal RNA
Source: RNAcentral